RNAcentral lists this ribosomal RNA (440 nucleotides) under uncultured bacterium. RNAcentral describes it as "bacterial SSU rRNA". It matches the Rfam family "Bacterial small subunit ribosomal RNA", at positions 340 to 773 of the family's 1533-position model. The record is from RNAcentral.
UACGGAAGGCAGCAGUGGGGAAUAUUGCACAAUGGGCGCAAGCCUGAUGCAGCCAUGCCGCGUGUAUGAAAAAGGCCUUCGGGUUGUAAAGUACUUUCAGUCGUGAGGAAGGUGUUAAGGUUAAUAACCUUAGCAAUUGACGUUAGCGACAGAAGAAGCACCGGCUAACUUCGUGCCAGCAGCCGCGGUAAUACGGAGGGUGCGAGCGUUAAUCGGAAUUACUGGGCGUAAAGGGCACGCAGGCGGUUAAUUAAGUUGGAUGUGAAAUCCCCGGGCUUAACCUGGGAAUGGCAUUCAAGACUGGUUAGCUAGAGUCUUGUAGAGGGGGUAGAAUUCCAUGUGUAGCGGUGAAAUGCGUAGAGAUGUGGAGGAAUACCGGUGGCGAAGGCGGCCCCUGGGACAAAGACUGACGCUCAUGUGCGAAAGCGUGGGGAGCAAAC